UUUUUAUCCCCAGGGUAAAACCAUUUGCCUAGUGGCCCGUACUGUUCACAGGUGAUGCAAAAGUUGUGUUUCUAUUAAGCCUGUUUCAGCCAUAAAUUUUCAUUUUUCCUUAGGUAUUACAGAGAAAGGCUAGGGAAAAAAAGGCAAUAUCUAUGGAGUUACUUUAUAUGACCAGAAGAGUGUAACUGAAAGUUAAAUGUAUAACAUCAGGUAUGGGGAAAGGGGUGAGAAUUUGAUUCAUGGUGCACCUCAAUUCCAUGAAUAACUAGCAGGUUACAAUGGAGUUCUGAGUUUCAACACUGAGGGAAAAUGUGAGUAGUGUUUGUUGAAAUUCACUUAUACUGUUCUCACUCUGUGAAGGCACUCCACAAGGACUAGAAGAAUCAAAAUCAUCAUUACCUUAGAUCACAGCUCAUUAGCAUUGCUACUAAAAGCUCCCUAAGUUACCACUUAUGUGCUUUUCAGACACAGCAUAAGGAGAUCAGUAACCAUUGCUGCCUUUAAAAUGGCAAAAAAAAAAAAAAAUUCAAUAAUGCAUCACAAAAUUUUAUACUUCCUUUUUAUCAUGCAUAUUCAAAUCUAUUUUGUUUAAAAAAGCAAAAACUAUGUCUGUAAAAUCAAGCUGGAGAGUUGAUUGAAUAUGUUGUUAAUGCAGUCUUUCCCCACCAAACAAACAGCAUAUUUGAAUUUGAUUUGAUAUCUGUAGAAAGGAAACCACAAUGUUACCUGUUAGAUAGGUGAGAACAAAUUAGGUAUUCUCUUGCUCUCUUUGGGUGAUCUCAAUUUACUUAAAAAAACCAUUUGGUAAGAUAUCUAUAAUGUCUCUGGCACUUAAAGUUGUGACUAGAAAAUAGUUUUCUACUUUAAAAAUAAAUGUCUUGGCUUCACUCCAACAUUUAUUUUCAAUAAAUGCCUAAGCAUUUAUCUUGCAGCAGGAGACCAUUAUCCAGUCACAACGUUCAAUUCCUUUGACAUUAUCUCUUAAGUAAAACAGUAGCGUAAAGAAUAAAGGACUUGCCAAUUGAAAGAGUGCAUUAGUAUGCUAGGUGGGUGAACAAAUGCUGUGGGUGAAAAUCACCUCUCCUCCCAAAUCAACAUUUGAGUGGAAGAAGCACAUGUUUUCUUUUCUUCAGACAUACUGUGUAUGGGGAAUUGUGGUAAAAAGCUUUACAAAGUAAGCCAGAAAGUGAAUAUACUAGCAUAUUCUAGUUUAAUGUUGUCUCUCAUAUAAUUCAAUUUCCUAUAGCAUUUGGUGUGUUACAUAGACUUUCUUGAAUGUUUGUGUGCAGUGGAGGUUCACAUGAUCUGUAUUAGCUCUGAGAGAUCUUCACUUAACCUAAUUAAGGUGCACUUGUUAUGAUAAGCUCUGUGAUAUGACAACCUGUAUGCUGCUCCUCUUCUUCCAAUAAUCACUGGAGAUUUUGGUUUCCUGGAAUUGUAAUCAAUUCAGAAGGCUAAACCUAUUUUGAUAAGAAGCAUUUUCUGAGGUAAUAGGUGUCUAAGAACAGAUAUUCAUUAUGAGAUUUAUUGUCUGCAUUUUGUAGCCAAUCACUGUUACAGUGGUAGAGGAAGUAAGACAUCCUAGAGAACCCUUCAGAAGAGGGGAUCCAGGGAUCCCUGGGUGGCGCAGCGGUUUGGCGCCUGCCUUUGGCCCAGGGCGCAAUCCUGGAGACCCGGGAUCGAAUCCCACGUCAGGCUCCCGGUGCAUGGAGCCUGCUUCUCCCUCUGCCUGUGUCUCUGCCUCUCUCUCUCUCUCUCUCUGUGACUAUCAUAAAUUAAAAAAAAAAAAAAAAAAAAAAAAAAAAAAAAGAAGAGGGGAUCCAUUAAGCAAAAAUAACACAUCAGUGGGGAUGGAAAUGUGUUAAAAAAAACUCCUAGACACAGAACUGAUUAUUUCACCCCUCUGUUUUAUUUACUGAACUCCCUGCCAUCUGCUAAAAACCUCAGAAAUCCUCUAUGUAGAAUGGUAAGUCUUCACAUAGAUUAACAAGAAUUGUCAAGGGCUAGCUUAAAUCUACCAUUCUACCCAUUCUUUGGCAAAGCACCACCAGACUAUCAGCCAUUUCAUUCUUAUCCCCCGUCGUGGACAUGGACCAUAAGCUGAUAUUUUCUCUGUCUCAAAUAGGGAACAUUGUAAACAAACUUUAAGACAAGCCCCCUUGCCUCCCAACAAGACCACUGUUCCUAUUAGAAUAGCACAGAAGUAUCAACUAACUUGUUCAUAUUUAUAACUUUGGAACCCCACGCAAAGCAUAGUAUAUUUGACUUUCUGUGGUUUGAGCCCUGAAAUUGGAUUUUUUUCAUUUCCAUAAUUGAUUUUUUUUCACACUAAAGUUUGAGAAUCAUUGCUUUAUGGCUCUGUUCAAAUUAUUUUUCUUUUAUGGAACCUAUACGCAUCACCUCCAAUGGUAAUGAUCUUUCUUUUCCCUGAUUCCUAGAUCAAUUUGUUUAUAUUGCUAAAGUGGCACCUAUCACAUAGUUCCCCAUGCUACAAUUAUUUGCAAAUAUGUUUCAUCACCUAUGGGAAUGAGAUCCACCUUUCAUGUAUUAUUUUUUCUGCAGUACUUAGCCUAGAGCCCAGCAUAUUGUAGAAAGACAUUUCAUGAUCACAGAAAAAUAAAAAGCAGUGCUGUCUGUAUUUGACAUUCAAAUACAGAGAUAUCCUGAGGUCUAGGCAAGAGGGCAUGCAUAGGUGUCACCUUGGUCCUUGUAACUCAUUUUUCAGAAGGCUCUUUUCAGCCAUACAAAUGCAUAGAAGAUAGAGAUUAAAAUGGUUCCAGGAGCAGAGUGGUUAGAAAUCCUGUGUUGGAAACCCACAUUCAUCUUCAAGAAAGUAGUUCUCAGGCUGCCACUGUUAUAGGACAGGUCAUCAUAGAAGAAUUCAUGAUUCUUAAAAUUCACUGGGAAGAAAACCAAAGUCGUAUGUUGUCAGAUACUAUCCAAUUCCCUUGAUUCUGCAGACCAAUGAUAGGAGUUAGCACAUCAAGGUUGGCCAGGUAAAAUAACAAUUUUUUUCUAUUUAAAAAAUCUCAGUGCUAUAAUACAGAUACGAAGAUACGUACAAUAAGAUACGAAGAAAUGUUCCGAUGAAAGCUGUCAUAACUAUCAUUACAAAUGAGGAAAUAUACUUUUCCAAAAGAGAUUUAUAUUGAAAUAUAAAAAUUAGUCCACAUGAAACUUGUUAGUUACCACUAUAAAGAUGCUUCCAUGGAUAAUGUCCACCAAAAAAUGAAUAAAGGUUUCUUAUGAAAACAGUUGGCAAACAGCUUUUUUGGUCUUAGCAUCAUGAAAGAUCUGCUUCUCCUAAACAAGAAGUUAAUUUUUAUCCUAUGGAAAUAAUAAUUUUAGACUGAAGUCUGAGAUGUUCUGUCUUUCUUUCGGAUAAAUAGAAAACUCAGAAGUAAAUGGUAGCUUAAUUCUUAAAAGUGUAGAGCUAAGUGAUACAAAUUUCUGAAUACUAAUUUUAUUUCUGACUUUAGUUUUGUACUGUGACCCCUUACUCUGACUUUCUCAAUAGUUUGAUACAUCCUUUUGUACUGUAUGAACCCUUUCGUAAGAUUCUCCAAAUCUUUUGUAUAAUUACUUGGGAUUCAAAUAAACAACAUAAUCCCAAAACAUUUGCUUCCUCUUUUGUGUCAAUAGUCUAAUUUCUUCUGACUGCUGAAGUGUCAUGGUCUCAUUCUUAUAUUUUAAUUCCAAUAUAAACUGUCCAUGAAUAUUUCUGGUGGUGAAAAACUUCAUAUUUUAUCUACAGUGCAUUUGCCUCAGAGAGGGAUCAGAAAGGCAUCUGCACUGUGCUUCUCUCUGAUUAUUACUCUUUUAUUUUGAAUAUGGAAUUGAAAAUGACAGAUUUGAAAAGGAACUUUAAAUAGACUAUAGUGACAUCUAAAUUGAACAAAAAUUAUCAUCUUAAACAACAAUAAAUGUCAUAUUAAAAUAGCAAAAGGAAAAAAAUAAAAAAAUAAAAUAGCAAAAGGAAAAUAUCCUUCAGAUGACUAGGUCACCAAUUUAAAUCUUUUAAGAUCCUCUUUUUUCUGAAGGUCCAGCUGUCAUCAAAAAUGAACUCUGAUGAUCUUUCAAUUUCAGUGCUUUGGAAAAAAGUAUUUAAGAUUGCAAGUCAUUUCUGUAAAGCUCACAGGACAACUGGUACUCUAAAGUCAAUUCUCAAUUACCUUUGGCAUGAGUGAUAGGAUUACAUGGACAUUUGUUGACAAUUUUCAGACAUCCCUCAGCCAGUUCUCUCAAUAUCUCCUAUCACCAAGCUUUUCUUAGAAGGGCUGCUAACAAGAAGCAAAAUGUAAAGAUUUGAGUUGUACCUCAUUUCACUUCUGCAAGCUUACAGAGGAAAAUGAAAUUUCUAAAGAUAUCUUAUUGAAAACAAAACACGAAGAGAGGAAACAAAGGUAACCAACAUAGAAAACCUGGCACCUGAAAUUAUGAGUAUAGCCUGCACUGGGAUAUGAACUAGAAAUACUUAAAUUGAUUAAUAAACAUUUAAAGAGCUUGCGAGAUAGCAAAGGAGGGAAAGAAGGCAGCGCUUGGGAAAGAGAACAAUAACUAUGCUUUCUAUGUGUUCUGGUUCUUCAAAUACAAAGGGCACAGUAUGUGAACCUACUUUUGGGUGUUCAGAUGAUACUGACUAUAUAGGAAGCAUUAUUAAUCUGGAAAGUGAAAUUUACAAUCUAGUAAUAUUGACAUAAAAAAUAUUACUGAGUCAGGAGAAUAAAGCAAGCGACCUUGGAAAGACACAUGUUAGCUGGAGAAUAAAGAGCACUGAUAAGCUUGUAAUAUAUUCUCUUUUCAAUUUAAAGAGGUUUUAUGGGCUGCUAACAUCUGAAAAAUGGAUUCUAAUGCAUGUAUGGAAGCAGAUUACAAAACCUAAGAGUAUAGGCUAUGGAGUUGGUCAUCUGGGUUCAGUGGCUUCACCCAUCAUUUUUGACUAGUUGUUUGACUUUCUGUGCCUCUAUUUCUCUGUCAAAUGGGAAUAAUACAAAUACCUCACAUAGCCUCAUUGGGCUAUGCAAGUCUUAAAAGAGUUAAUUUUGUAGAUAAUAAGACCUCAAUAAAUGAAAACCGUAUUAUUCAUAUUAGAAUACUAUCUUAAUGCUGAUAUAGAAAAGAGAGAAAAUAUCCAAUGAUCCUACAGGCAAGAUAAUUCUUAAUAAUAAAAUGAAAACAACUAAAACAAACAUUAAAAACUGUAAUAUAUGCACUCAGGAGAAAAAUGCAAACUGUACUGUAGAGUAAAAAUGAAAAGUGAAAUCUAUUUUUCAUCUUUUCCUUCCUUCUUAAAAAAUUUUUGUGAGAUAUUUCAGAAAAAAUAUGUAAAUAGUUAUUAAACACUCUUUUAACAACACAAAAUGAUCAAACUCCAUACUGUACCUAUUUUCCUGCACCUUGCUUUCUGUUCCCCAGUUAAUAAUACAUCUUUGGGAGCUUUCCUUAACUGCACGUUCAGAACACUAUUACUUUUUAAAAGUAGCAUAGCAUUACAAGGUACAGAUGUAAAGUAAUUCAUCUAAAUAACUCUAUAAUGAUAAAAAUUUAGAUUGUGUUUGUAGCUGAUAAACAGUAUGACAAAAGAAUCUUAUUUGUGUGCUAUUUAGAAUAUUUCUUUGAAAAAUUCUGAGGGCAAAUUCUUAGAAGUGGAAUUUCUAGAUCAAGAACAUGGGCCUCUUAAAAUGUGACAUUGUGAAAAUGCCCUCCAAAGACAUUAUCAAUUAGACCUCCAUCUACACGCUCAAGAAAAUCUAAGAUGUUUUGCCCUGGAAAUUAUCCAAGCUUUAAAUUUUGCCAGUCUGGUAGUAUAAAAGCUUAUUAUAGGUUGAUUAACAUUCUAGCCUGAUUUUUCUAUGCUGGCUAUGAGAAAAUAAUGCUUUGAUCAUAAAAUAUCUUGCAUUAUUGUCAUUUAAAAAAUAUAAGCAUGGUAAAAAAUAAUAGUUCUUAUAAAAGUAGGUGUUUUUGUUUCUCCCCAUAGAAGGAUUUUCAAGCAUCAUUAUCCUAUCUUAUGAGAUGUUUAUGGUCAAGAAUAGUUAAUAACCUGAAUGCAGAAACAGCUCUCUCUCACUUCCAAAAUACUUCUUUCUUUCUUGGGCUAAUAUACACAGAGAGAGACACAAAUACACACAUGCACACACAAUAUAUACUGAAAGUUCACUGAUACCAAGAAACAGAGCAUAGUUACUUCAGUACAGUAUCACGCCACGAGUUACCAUUUAAAGGAUACCUAAUUGAUUAAGGAUAUUUUAAUGUUAAAUCCCACACUUGUCUGAAGAUUUUUUAACCAUUAAAGAUGUAAAAUAAAAGUCAAUAUAUGUACAAAUGAUAUUUUAUGUGCCUCUUUCAAUGGAGGAAACAGGAAACAGAUUUCUCAAAUUUGAGUUUAUCUGUUAAAUUUCCCUGGUAAUGUAUAUUUAAUAUCUAAGGAAAUUUUAUUAAAAUUUUCUCCUGAAAAUUAAAAAUAAAGGACUGCAUUUGCUUUCAUAAAAUUUUUAAUUCAUUUGGUUUCUGGAAUCAGUCAGAAACUGUCUUCACUCUCUUGUUUUCACACAAAAUGGCUGGUUGGUUUUUAUUUGUAAAUCUCGGUGGGUUUCUAACACAUUCAGAGAAAUAAAUAGCCAAUUUGGAAUAAUUCACUAAAUGUAAAUGUAGGAACUUUCUUAUGAACAUAGUAAAUAAGUGAUUACUAUGAAUCAUGCCUGUAUAUUUCAUAUUAGAGUACCAGAAGCCAUGGAAGAAGCAUCAUGACUUUUCUCACUGUUUUAAUGAUUGUAAAUGUCUAUGAGGAGAAUCUCUCUAGGUUUGUAGGAAAGGAUUGAGAAGUAAUGCAUGCAAAAGUUAAAGGUGAUUCUCUGUGGCUUUAGGAUUUGAGUCUUUAAUGAUUUUUUUUAUAGAAUAAUUUUCCUACAAAAUAAGAAAUUUAGUAUUUCUAACGUACACAAAAAUAAAAUACCCCUUACUAUUUAUAUUACUUUGUGAUAUACUAUUGUGUCUUCAGCAUUUUAAUUACCAAUUACAAAAUUUGAAUAACCCUUCAAAAUUCUGAUACAAGGAUAAAUCAUAUGAGAGCCCUCUGGUGGCCAAAACAGUGUCAUUAAACUUUCCAUAGAGAGGCUGGUUAGAGGAAGUCUGGAGGAAGACUCCUACUGAAAUUAUAAAACCUUAUCUGGCAUCUACUUUAUAUUGAUAUAUUUAUAGUCUAUUGAUUCAACUGAUAGGUUACAAAGUGACAAUCUAUUUUAAUGUCCGUUGCCUGAUUCACAAAGUAAUAUUUCACGUACAGAAUUCAAUAUUUAAAUUUAUGGAAAAUAUUAUGUUUUGAUAUAGAAAAUGUAGAAAAUUGUAGGUUAUUUUAGACCUACAGAAUUAUUGAAUCAUAGAAUUUUAUAGCAGGAAUAAAUAUUAGAGUUAAUUUAGUACAAUUUCCUCAUUUAUUGAAUGAGGAAAAUUAGGUCAAGGUAGGUUAAAUGCUUUGCAUAUGGUCACAGAGUAAUUAUCAGGAGUGCUGGGCUAGAGACCUUUUCAAUGUUUCAAUGUCAAGUGCUGCAGAAAAAAUGUGAUCAUUUAACUAUGGUUUUUUUUUUCUGUUUCCUGUACAUAGGAUUUUUACUUAUGUUUAUUUAACCUUAUUUUCAUGAUUUUUAAAAAAUCUUUCUUCUGAAAGUUUUUCCAGGUUAAGACAUGGGCAUCUGGUGACUUACAACUUAAAAGUAAAGCAGAGGUAUAAAAAGCAGAAUCAAAACAAUAUUCAUUUUUUACUGUUCUAUGGUAGAUUAUUAAAAGUUAGCAACUUAAAGCAACCCCAUUUAUGAAUUCUAAUUCUGUAGGUCAGAAGUUCAGAGAGUGUGCUUAGCCUCUGCUCAGGUGAUCACAGGUCUGAAAUCAAGGUAUUGGCUGGGCUUUGUGUAUAUUUGAGUAUAUUUGUGUCAUCUAGAGGCUCUGGGGAAGAACCUUCCAAGUUCAUUCAGCUUGCUUCCAAAAUUCAGUUCUUGUGUUAUAGGACUGCAGUCCCUUGUUCUUGUUGGAUUUUGGCUAAGAGGUUUCCCUCAGCUCCAAAGGCAGCUCUUAGUUCCUUGCCUUAUGGCUCCCUCCAUCUACCAAGCCAGCAAUAAAGAACCUUCUUUUGCUGAAUCCCUCCCACACUCCAACUCUCUUUUAGAAACUGCCUGGUUCCUUUUUAAAAACUUGCAUAUUUUCACAGGGCUUGUACAUGUUCAUAAAUCAGCAUCACCC
Molecule: long non-coding RNA, 8232 nt
Filed under: Canis lupus familiaris (dog)
Lineage: Eukaryota; Metazoa; Chordata; Mammalia; Carnivora; Canidae
Description: lncRNA (ENSCAFG00845028110.1)
Source: RNAcentral